Molecule: RNA transcript, 4003 nt
Organism: Lynx canadensis (Canada lynx)
Lineage: Eukaryota; Metazoa; Chordata; Mammalia; Carnivora; Felidae
Gene: PTPN6
Gene name: protein tyrosine phosphatase non-receptor type 6
Exons: 16
Source: RefSeq, a predicted model, not a curated record
AACGAGAAGUACAGUGAGUUCCCCCAAGGGGUCGGCCGCGCCCCUUCCUGUCCCCGCCCUGCCGGCUGUCCCAGGCCAGUGGAGUGGCAGCCCCAGAACCAGGACCGCCAGGGCUGUGAGGCGGCCUGGGCGCUGGGAGUUGGCGGCCUGCCUGGGCUCACCAGCACAUCUCAUUCCCUGCACCCCCUUCCUCUCAGGGAGCCCCCAGGAUGGUGAGGUGGUUUCACCGAGACCUCAGUGGGCUGGAUGCAGAGACGCUGCUCAAGGGCCGGGGGGUCCAUGGGAGCUUCUUGGCUCGGCCCAGUCGCAAGAACCAGGGCGACUUCUCCCUCUCCGUCAGGGUCGGGGAUCAGGUGACCCACAUUCGGAUCCAGAACUCGGGAGAUUUCUAUGACCUGUAUGGAGGGGAGAAGUUUGCGACACUGACGGAGCUGGUGGAGUACUACACACAGCAGCAGGGUGUCCUGCAGGACCGGGAUGGCACCAUCAUCCACCUCAAGUACCCGCUGAACUGCUCCGACCCCACCAGCGAGAGGUGGUACCACGGUCACAUGUCUGGGGGGCAGGCAGAGACACUGCUGCAGGCCAAGGGUGAGCCCUGGACGUUUCUCGUGCGUGAGAGUCUCAGCCAGCCUGGAGAUUUUGUGCUGUCCGUGCUCAGCGACCAGCCCAAGGCUCGCCCAGGCUCCCCACUCAGAGUCACUCAUAUCAAGGUCAUGUGUGAGGGUGGACGCUACACGGUGGGUGGCUCAGAGACCUUUGACAGCCUCACAGACCUGGUGGAGCAUUUCAAGAAGACGGGGAUUGAGGAGGCCUCGGGUGCCUUCGUCUACCUGCGGCAGCCGUACUAUGCCACUCGGGUGAACGCAGCUGACAUUGAGAAUCGGGUGUUGGAACUCAACAAGAAGCAGGAGUCGGAGGAGACAGCCAAAGCCGGCUUUUGGGAGGAGUUUGAGAGUCUGCAGAAGCAGGAGGUAAAGAACUUGCACCAGCGGCUGGAAGGCCAGAGGCCAGAGAACAAGAGCAAGAACCGUUACAAGAACAUUCUUCCGUUCGACCACACCCGAGUGAUCCUGCAGGGACGUGACAGCAACAUCCCUGGGUCCGACUAUAUCAAUGCCAACUACGUCAAGAACCAGCUGCUAAGCCCCGAUGAGAACGCUAAGACCUACAUCGCCAGCCAGGGCUGCCUGGAGGCCACAGUCAACGACUUCUGGCAGAUGGCAUGGCAGGAGAACACCCGCGUCAUUGUCAUGACCACCCGAGAGGUGGAGAAAGGCCGGAACAAAUGUGUGCCAUAUUGGCCAGAGGUGGGCACUCAGCGCGCUUAUGGACCGUACACAGUAACCAAUUGCGGGGAGCACGACACAGCUGAGUACAAACUCCGUACCUUGCAGGUCUCCCCGCUGGACAAUGGGGACCUGGUUCGGGAGAUCUGGCACUAUCAGUACCUGAGCUGGCCUGACCAUGGCGUCCCCAGCGAGCCUGGAGGUGUCCUCAGCUUCCUGGAUCAGAUCAACCAGCGGCAGGAGAGUCUGCCUCACGCGGGACCCAUCAUUGUGCACUGCAGAGACUUCGAGACUUCCCUGGAUGUACCGUCUCAUCCAGCCCUGCCACAUACAGAUGAGAAAACAGGCCCAGCAGCUUGCCAGCUGGUCUGCAAGAGAGCCUGCACGGACACUCACAACAGACCUCGGUCCUGGUCAUGUUGUUUCCUCAUACGGGCUUACUCAGAGUAUAUAUUUUCUCGGCCCCAAGCGUCUCCCAUCUGGGGGCAGUGUGGCUCCCUACGUUUUCUCAUUUUCCCCUCUGUAGCCCCCGGGGCGCUUAGCCUUCUCUGCUUCUCCCUUCCCAGCUAGUGACCCCAGCUUGGCCUCCAGGGUUGCGUGGCGACGGGUGGUAUCUCUUCCAGAGGGGCCCACGCAUCACUAGCUCCACUGCAGAACCUCAUGACUAGGAGACCCUGUUCCUGCUAAACGGGGAGGUGGGGGGUCAGCAAGGAGGAGGUGGGGGGGGGCCCAUCAGGCCUGAAGGGCAGAGUCCUGUAGAUGGGCCUACCCAGCCCGCCUGGCCUGGGUGCAUGGGAGGCAGUGGGUGCAGGUUCCUGGACAGAGACCGUAGUUUUAAAUUUCAGUUCUGCUACUCACCGGCUGUGUGAUCGUGGACAAAUUGCUUGGUUACUCUGACCCGCAGAUUCGUCUUCUGUAAAUUCAGGAUCUCCUAUGGUUGCUCUGAGGGUUAAGUGAGACCCUGUCACUGUGUCGGGAAUACAAUGAAUCCCUGAAGAAAUGGGAGCUGUGAAUGGUUUAAUAACUCACAGCAGGAAGAGAAUGGGGAAACGGGAGCCUGCUUUUUCUGCUUCCCUACCCACUCCCUCCAAGUGACCCCAGGCUGCGAGGGCCUCACACUUCUUCCUUCUUCCCACCAGCAACUGCUUGUCCUGGGGCAGGGCUGGGUGGGAUGAAACUGGGGGUACCCCCCACGUGCCAUCUAAGGGACUCUGCUCUGCCUCCAGGGGCAGGCCCAUCGCCCACAACGACCCUCCUGCUACCCCCCUUCCACUUCUUGAAAUCCCCAUGGCCUUUAUUUAGAUGCUACAGGAAGGAAGUGGGUAAGGGGGGGGGUUAUUUUUGACAAUCUGGGUUUGAAAUUAGACAGUGCAACUCAGGUCACCAGCCUGAUGGGCCCAGCAAAGGGGGUGGGACUGCAGUCUCCGAGGGGUCCUGAGGUUCCCCGGGGCUGUUUGCCCAAGGGUGGUGGCACAGGGCGGGGAAGGGGACAGCCCUUACUGCGUGGCUCCCCCACCUCUCCACAGCUCCUGACCCCAGUGCCCUUUGUGCCCUGCUGUCUCUAGGACUGCCCUUUCCCUGCCGUCAGGGUCUGAAAAAAAAAGAGAAAAAGGGAAACGAAGCCCUGCUUUAAAAAGCUCUAAAUAUAACUUUAGAAGGGCAGGCCGGGGUGCAGGGAAGGCCUCAUUCAGGCCAAGGGUGUGGGAGAGGGCCAGGGGAGGCCCGGAGUGCCUGUGGGGCAGGCAGGACCUUGAUGGGGCUGGGGCUCCUAGAUCCUCCAGAGUAGGGAGCAGCCCGCGGCAGGAAUGAGGCGUCAAAGCAGGAAGUGGUGGCGCGGGGAGAUGGGGUGCAGCCGGCUGGCCUGGGAGCACUUGAGAGCCGGCCCGCCUACAAAUCCCUGGGCUGAAGUGAUGUGCGUGGGUGCGGAACCAGGGAAGCUUCCGCCUCCGGCCUGCCGGCCCUGUGACCCCGGGCGUGUUACCUCAUCUGUCUGGAGCCUCAGUUUCUUCAUGCUACCAUGCUGGAGCCGAAUGCCGGGGCUCCCCCUUCCCGGUGAGGCCUCUGACGGCGCCCCCUUCCCUCCCCAGCGCAGGCAUUGGCCGCACGGGCACCAUCAUCGUCAUCGACAUGCUCAUGGAAAGCAUCUCCACCAAGGGGUUGGACUGUGACAUCGACAUCCAGAAGACCAUCCAGAUGGUGCGGGCGCAGCGCUCCGGCAUGGUGCAGACCGAGGCGCAGUACAAGUUCAUCUAUGUGGCCAUCGCCCAGUUCAUUGAAACCACCAAGAAGAAGCUGGAGGUCAUUCAGUCCCAGAAGGGCCGGGAGUCAGAGUACGGGAACAUCACCUACCCCUUAGCCAUGAGGAACGCCCAUGCCAAGGCAUCCCGCACCUCUUCCAAACACAAGGAGGAUGUAUAUGAGAACUUGCACAGUAAGAACAAGAAGGAGGACAAGGUGAAGAAGCAGCGGUCGGCGGACAAGGAGAAGAGCAAGGGUUCCCUCAAGAGGAAAUGAGGCGGGCCUCAGCCCUGAUCCCUGCAGAGGCCUCCGGUGGGCCAACCCAUGGCCGGAACUGAGGAGCCCGCCCCCGUUCUAUUGUAAUUUAAGUGGCUGUGUCCCUACUUCCCUCUUCCUGACCCUGUAUAUAGCCCUGCGAGACUCCAGGCAGCAUCAGGCCCUAUACUCUUGUAAAUAAAGCCCCUAGGAUCACUGUG